Molecule: ribosomal RNA, 180 nt
Filed under: Triticum aestivum (bread wheat)
Lineage: Eukaryota; Viridiplantae; Streptophyta; Magnoliopsida; Poales; Poaceae
Description: partial small subunit ribosomal RNA
Source: RNAcentral
AAGGCUCUAGCCUCCUUGAUGAUGCUUAUCUCAUGGGAGAUAUGGACAGAGCGUAACGCUAGGGUCUUUCAAAAUACGGCCGUCCCUUCCAUGGUCCUAAUCUGUAAGAUCAAAGAGGAGGUGUCUCUUUGGGCAGUGGCGGGUGCGAAGCACAUGAGUGUUGUAAUGCAGCGAGAGUAG